AUGCACUGCCCACUCAGCCUUUGCUGUUGCUUCAAACAAGCAGCUCUAAUGCCUUCCAUCAAAUCACUGCUGAGCCAGUUGAUCGAUUUCAGUCGAGUGGGACAGAAGGAGAGAGCUGAGAUACGAAGUUUAGGAAGAACACAGGUUCUCCAGUGUGUCCAAGGGGCCUGGAGGAGUGCUUUUACCAGUGAAGGUGAUCACAAAGCCAGGAGCCAGCUCACCAGCAGGACUUUGCAGCAGCCUCAGCAGAGGCUGUUGGCUGCCCCAGUGGAGGGGUUCAUGCAGGAUCCUUUGGGAACCUGCACCUCGAGGGCACGGGAGGUGCCACCAAUGGCACAGUGAGGUCUUUGUCAGGGCAUUUACACUGAGAUAUUGCUCAGGAGCAGCUCCUGCUUGGGUCUCUGCCAUCUAAUAUUCUUUACAUGAGGCCCAGAGAAC
This 438-nucleotide long non-coding RNA is filed under the name Parus major (Great Tit). Its description in RNAcentral is "lncRNA (ENSPMJG00000019350.1)". Lineage: Eukaryota; Metazoa; Chordata; Aves; Passeriformes; Paridae. The record is from RNAcentral.